This 64-nucleotide small RNA is filed under the name uncultured Acidaminococcus sp. RNAcentral's name for it is "Streptococcus sRNA SpF59 (ldcC RNA)". It matches the Rfam family "Streptococcus sRNA SpF59 (ldcC RNA)". Lineage: Bacteria; Bacillati; Bacillota; Negativicutes; Acidaminococcales; Acidaminococcaceae. The record is from RNAcentral.
GACCACUUUUACGGAAGAUUUCCGUAAAGGUCAAGGCCAUACGGACAGCCGGGUCCACUGCCGA